This is a non-coding RNA of Corynebacterium glyciniphilum AJ 3170, 462 nucleotides long. It matches the Rfam family "Bacterial RNase P class A". From Rfam's summary of the family: Ribonuclease P (RNase P) is a ubiquitous endoribonuclease, found in archaea, bacteria and eukarya as well as chloroplasts and mitochondria. NCBI's taxonomy places the organism in Bacteria, Bacillati, Actinomycetota, Actinomycetes, Mycobacteriales, Corynebacteriaceae. The record is from Rfam.
CGAGAGGGCCGGGUGAUCGCGGUGCCGGGGACUGCGUCCGCCCAUGUGGCGGCGUCCGCCCGGCGUCGAGGAAAGUCCGGACUCCACAGAGCACGGUGGUUGUUAACGGCAACCCGGGGUGACCCGCGGGCAAGUGCCACAGAAAACAGACCGCCCUGGCCGACCGGUCCGUCCGGGAACCAGGGUAAGGGUGAAACGGUGCGGUAAGAGCGCACCAGUGCGCCGGGUAACCGGUGUAGCUAGGUAAACCCCACCGGGAGCAAGGUCAAGUGGCCGCGACCGUACCUCUUCGUGAGGACCACGGUGUGGCCGUGCCCCGUCGGCUGCUCGCCGGUGAAGGGGCAGGUAGACCGCUUGAGGCAGUCGGUGACGGCUGACCCAGAUGGAUGAUCGCCGCCGCGCACGGUGUGCCCUGUACACCGGGGUGCGGCACAGAAUCCGGCUCACAGGCCCUCUCGGCAC